RNAcentral lists this ribosomal RNA (372 nucleotides) under uncultured organism. Its description in RNAcentral is "partial 16S ribosomal RNA". It matches the Rfam family "Bacterial small subunit ribosomal RNA", at positions 527 to 896 of the family's 1533-position model. The record is from RNAcentral.
GUAGGUGGCAAGCGUUGUCCGGAAUUAUUGGGCGUAAAGCGCGCGCAGGCGGUUCUUUAAGUCUGAUGUGAAAGCCCACGGCUCAACCGUGGAGGGUCAUUGGAAACUGGAGAACUUGAGUACAGAAGAGGAAAGCGGAAUUCCACGUGUAGCGGUGAAAUGCGUAGAGAUGUGGAGGAACACCAGUGGCGAAGGCGGCUUUCUGGUCUGUAACUGACGCUGAGGCGCGAAAGCGUGGGGAGCAAACAGGAUUAGAUACCCUGGUAGUCCACGCCGUAAACGAUGAGUGCUAAGUGUUAGGGGGUUUCCCGCCCCCUUAGUGCUGCAGCUAACGCAUUAAGCACUCCGCCUGGGAGUACGGCCGCAAGGCUG